Long non-coding RNA from Saccostrea cuccullata (small rock oyster), 456 nucleotides. RefSeq lists it as uncharacterized. The record is from RefSeq and is a predicted model, not a curated record. The transcript is spliced from 3 exons. NCBI's taxonomy places the organism in Eukaryota, Metazoa, Mollusca, Bivalvia, Ostreida, Ostreidae.
CUGCUUAAAAUUAUUUUUGGGCUGACGAGACCAAAUUAGAAGUUUGUUCUUACAAGGAAUCGCCAUUAUGUCUCAAAUGAUAUAUGGAUAACCUGAUUAAACGAUGAAAAGACGUCUAAGAACGGACAAUCAGCAUUUAAAUAUGUUCGUAAAGUGCCACAUUUCAUGCAAACAGUAGUGAUUUAAAACAGAGUGUUGAGAAUAAAAUACACAAACUUUUGAGAGGCAAUGCAGAGCUAUUGACUUCGACCUAAUUUUUGGAAGUUUAAAUUUCAGGCUGUUUGUAAAGUCAGAUUCUCAUAUGAAGAAAGAAUAUCAAAGUAGAAUUACAAUGCGUGUUCGUAGGCGGGAUAUCUCUAGCAUACACUAUCCGACCAUCCCCCAGGACUUUAAAGUCUAUUUCAGAUGAAAAAUGAAGAGUUAUGCACCUUGUAAUAGAGGUAUAUGAGAAAUUUU